AAAGAUUUUGUGUUCAUUUGAUGUGGGGAGAUUCUUGAGAGUUCAGCCGAACGCAGCAGACGUCUUUGGACAGCAGCAGAGUGGUACCCUUUAGUGCUAGCCGCUGCGAAAAUUGAGAUAGAGGAGCAGCGGAAGCAGAACGAGGGUCUGACAGCCCUCAUUAAAAGCUUGCAGGAGUCAAUAGACCUGCAAAACAGAGAGAAGAAAGAAAACGGCAAGCGUUUGCGUAUCGAGAGUCCACAAGUGUCGGACUCUUUUGAAAGAACUGUAUUUAACACAAAUUGAGUUAGCCAGAUGGGAAUAGAGCGUUAUUUACUAAGCAUUCAAAUAGAUGCGAUAUAAAAAAUAAAUUCGAAAAAGCACCUUUAUUUAUUUAUACUCGGUUGAUGAUUGUUGUACGAUUACGUUGCACUUAAUUUGUAUAUUGUUAGGACUUUGCAGAUUCCAUGUGUACAUUGUUAAGCAUUUGCACACUUGGUUUAUAUAUUAUGUAAGCUUACUUGAAAAGUCAGGCAAAUUCGGUAGCAACAUUUUCAUUUAAACAACUUGUAAGUACCUUGAUUGCACUACAAACUGUUAUAGAAGCUUAGCAUAUUUAAGGUAGUAGCACAAGGUGACGAUUUUGAAAAAUCUUGUUUUUUCUUUACAUAUUUCGUAAGUAUAAUCUAUUGAAUAUAUACCGUCAAAAUCUAA
This is a long non-coding RNA of Hermetia illucens (black soldier fly), 693 nucleotides long. RefSeq lists it as uncharacterized. The transcript is spliced from 2 exons. The record is from RefSeq and is a predicted model, not a curated record. NCBI's taxonomy places the organism in Eukaryota, Metazoa, Arthropoda, Insecta, Diptera, Stratiomyidae.